CCGGUCAGGUAACGAGGUGCAGAGGUGUGGGGAAGACCUGGAGGGAGGCCUCCCUGGAUGCCAACCAGCCUAACCAGCCGGGGCCACCAAUCAGAAGUGCUUCUGACAUUUAACAGGACACACGGAAGGUGUGUAGGGUGGGUAGUGGAUGUAACCGCAGAGGCCUCUGGGGAUUGUUUUGGAGCUGGAGAGGCAGGCAAGCAGUUGGCUUUUCCCACACAGGGUGCCUCAGACAUCUGCACAGCGCACACAACCAAGCUUAGGAGCCCACUGUUAAGAUGCCCAAGUGACAUGGACAAGUUUCUCCUCUGCAAGACAAUGAGAUCUGCUGACUGUCAGAGCAUCGCAGGACCGCCGAAGGAUUCUAGAAAAUGUGGUCCCGGGUGGCCACUGUGUGCUAACCUUCACCUGCAGGUUCGACUUGAAGGAAACUUCUCGAGGGUUGGGUGGAGGGUGGGGUAGUGUUGAAGAGGAGGCACAAUUGUAACCAUUUUGUUCAACAUGGGUGUUUUCUUUAUGCAUCAAUUUGUAUUUUUAAAGAUAUUAUAUUAAAAUUUUGUUUCUGUUUU
This is a long non-coding RNA of Mandrillus leucophaeus (drill), 569 nucleotides long. RefSeq lists it as uncharacterized. The transcript is spliced from 2 exons. The record is from RefSeq and is a predicted model, not a curated record. NCBI's taxonomy places the organism in Eukaryota, Metazoa, Chordata, Mammalia, Primates, Cercopithecidae.